AUUGAACGCUGGCGGCAGGCUUAACACAUGCAAGUCGAACGAUGAAACUCUAGCUUGCUAGAGAAGAUUAGUGGCGGACGGGUGAGUAACAUUUAGGAAUCUGCCUAGUAGUGGGGGAUAGCUCGGGGAAACUCGAAUUAAUACCGCAUACGACCUACGGGUGAAAGGGGGCGCAAGCUCUUGCUAUUAGAUGAGCCUAGAUCAGAUUAGCUAGUUGGUGGGGUAAAGGCCCACCAAGGCGACGAUCUGUAACUGGUCUGAGAGGAUGAUCAGUCACACCGGAACUGAGACACGGUCCGGACUCCUACGGGAGGCAGCAGUGGGGAAUAUUGGACAAUGGGGGCAACCCUGAUCCAGCCAUGCCGCGUGUGUGAAGAAGGCCUUUUGGUUGUAAAGCACUUUAAGCAGGGAGGAGAGGCUAAUGGUUAAUACCCAUUAGAUUAGACGUUACCUGCAGAAUAAGCACCGGCUAACUCUGUGCCAGCAGCCGCGGUAAUACAGAGGGUGCGAGCGUUAAUCGGAAUUACUGGGCGUAAAGCGAGUGUAGGUGGCUCAUUAAGUCACAUGUGUAAUCCCCGGGCUUAACCUGGGAACUGCAUGUGAUACUGGUGGUGCUAGAAUAUGUGAGAGGGAAGUAGAAUUCCAGGUGUAGCGGUGAAAUGCGUAGAGAUCUGGAGGAAUACCGAUGGCGAAGGCAGCUUCCUGGCAUAAUAUUGACACUGAGAUUCGAAAGCGUGGGUAGCAAACAGGAUUAGAUACCCUGGUAGUCCACGCCGUAAACGAUGUCUACUAGCCGUUGGGGUCCUUGAGACUUUAGUGGCGCAGUUAACGCGAUAAGUAGACCGCCUGGGGAGUACGGCCGCAAGGUUAAAACUCAAAUGAAUUGACGGGGGCCCGCACAAGCGGUGGAGCAUGUGGUUUAAUUCGAUGCAACGCGAAGAACCUUACCUGGUCUUGACAUAGUGAGAAUCCUGCAGAGAUGCGGGAGUGCCUUCGGGAAUUCACAUACAGGUGCUGCAUGGCUGUCGUCAGCUCGUGUCGUGAGAUGUUGGGUUAAGUCCCGCAACGAGCGCAACCCUUUUCCUUACUUGCCAGCGGGUUAAGCCGGGAACUUUAAGGAUACUGCCAGUGACAAACUGGAGGAAGGCGGGGACGACGUCAAGUCAUCAUGGCCCUUACGACCAGGGCUACACACGUGCUACAAUGGUAGGUACAGAGGGUUGCUACACAGCGAUGUGAUGCUAAUCUCAAAAAGCCUAUCGUAGUCCGGAUUGGAGUCUGCAACUCGACUCCAUGAAGUCGGAAUCGCUAGUAAUCGCAGAUCAGAAUGCUGCGGUGAAUACGUUCCCGGGCCU
Molecule: ribosomal RNA, 1355 nt
Filed under: uncultured bacterium
Lineage: Bacteria
Description: bacterial SSU rRNA
Rfam family: Bacterial small subunit ribosomal RNA
Source: RNAcentral